RNAcentral lists this ribosomal RNA (240 nucleotides) under uncultured Lactobacillus sp. RNAcentral's name for it is "partial 16S ribosomal RNA". It matches the Rfam family "Bacterial small subunit ribosomal RNA", at positions 122 to 355 of the family's 1533-position model. Lineage: Bacteria; Bacillati; Bacillota; Bacilli; Lactobacillales; Lactobacillaceae. The record is from RNAcentral.
UAACCUGCCCAAGAGAUCGGGAUAACACCUGGAAACAGAUGCUAAUACCGGAUAACAACAGAUGAUGCCUAUCAACUGUUUAAAAGAUGGUUCUGCUAUCACUCUUGGAUGGACCUGCGGUGCAUUAGCUAGUUGGUAGGGUAACGGCCUACCAAGGCGAUGAUGCAUAGCCGAGUUGAGANACUGAUCGGCCACAUUGGGACUGAGGCACGGCCCAAACUCCUACGGGAGGCAGCAGCC